ACGUCGCAGCACCAUGCAACCAUGCAAAGGUUUCCGCCUUCCUCAUUAAAACAAACGAGACGGAUCCCCCGCUCAAAGACGAGAAGGAUCCCGUCACCGCCUCUCCUCGUCCGCCCCCGCCCUCCUCCCUCCGCCUUCUUCGCUUCCUCCGCUCCCACACCCGCCAUCGCUUCUCCGAGACCGAUCUCUCGUCACCCUCAAGGUCUUCUCCGCGCCCUCGCGACUUUCCAGUCACUUCCGUCCAUCUUCCGCUGCAAGCCUGGUGUUCGCUCCCACAACGCCCUCCUCGACGCCUUCGUCCGGGGCCGCCACUGGGACCAGGCCGAGUCCUUCUUCGCCUUAUUCCAUAGCCACGCGCGCGUUUCUUCUAACCUCCAGAGCUACAACAUUCUCACCCGAGGCCUCUGUGACCGGAGGCUGCUUGAUCCAGCGACUUGGACGACGCCCUCAAACUGUUCGACGAAAUGUGCGAUAAAAAUGUGACGCCCGAUGUGAUGUUCUAUAAUUUUCUGAUUACUAGGGUUUUUGAAGAAAGGCGAGUUCUUGAAGGGAAUGGAGAUCAGGGAGAGGCUGGUGAGGGACAGCACAGUCAGUCCAAAUGUUGCCAUGUAUACCGUCAUGCUGGUGAGGGCUCAUUCACUUGUGGAGUUUUGAUUCAUGGCCUGUUGGAGUCAGGGAAUGUGGAGGGGGCCUCGCCCCUCUAUGCAGAGAUGAUCAAGACAGGAUUUGGCUGUCACGUGUAACUCUCUGCUAAAUGGGCUCCGCAAAGCAGGGAGGCUACAGGAGUUGUUGACGCUCUGGGAGUCGAUGGGAAGGCAGGGAAUUGCCAAAAUUGUCAGUUACAGCACAUCGAUCAGGAGACUGCAUGAGAAUGACAAAGCAGAUGAAGCAGUUUCUCUUUGGGAAGCUUUCAGGGGGCUAAUGCAUGCCCUCCAGACCUGGUAACUUAUGGUGUUUUGAUUCCUGAAUUGUGCAAAAAGGGUUAUAUCAACAAAGCAUUGCGGAUUUUGAAGGAGGCAUAAUAAGAUGGAGAGAAAAACUUAGAUGACUUCAUGUUCUCCUCAAUAAUUAACAGAUUGUGCAAAGAUGGGGGAUUGGAUGAAGCAAUUUGCAUUUGUGAUCAAAUGGCUAAACAUGGCUGCCGAUCAAAUUCUCAUACAUAAAAUGCACUGAUCAGUGGUUUCUGUCGAGCAUCUAAGAUUGUUGACACCAUCCAGGUUUUCAAGGGGAUGGUCAGCAAUAGUUGCACUCCUACUAUUGUAACAUACUUCACACUUACAGAUUGAUAGUGUAAAGUGGUGAGGUUCCGGGAGGCUUCUAGCUUAGCAAGAGAAAUGAUGGAAAAAGUUUUCAAACCUGACGUGGUGACAUACAGCUGUUUAAUGGAUGGACAAGAUUGAUGUUGCUCUUGACAUUUGGAACCAAGUUCUUGACAAUGGUUUCCAAGCCGGUGUCAUCAUGCACAACAUUCUUUCAAUGGCCUUUGCUCUACAGGGAAAGUGGAAGAAGCCCUGCAUGUUUGCUUGGAGAUGAAACAGAAAAAGUGCACUUAAAAUCUAGUGAGACACAACGUGCUUAUGGAUGGACUUUAUCGAGUUGGUGACUGUGAAAGGGCAUCAGAUGUACAGGUCCAGAUGUUAGAGGCUGGAUUGGAACCAGAUAUCAUUUCUUAUGACAUAAUGUUUAAAGGUCUUUGUUCUUAUAAUAAGAUAUCCAAAACAGUCAAGUUAUUGGAUGAUGCCUUGUGUUGUGGCAUUAUUCCAACUUCCAUUACCUGGUGUAUACUAGGUAAGGCAAUCAUCGGCAGCUGACCAGUUCCAACAUGAUCACUACGAAGAUCUAGUGCAAGAAACACUUUAGUGUGGCAUUGUGUUCUUUGCAUGCAUGUUGUGCUAAUACUCUGGGACUUCGUGAUUGAAAAUUGCUGAUAAUACGGACCAGGAAGAUAACUGAUUAUUUGAAGGACAUUAUAUCCUUUUAAGCACCGAAGGUAUGUUUACUUUGAAAUCUUAUGUGUCAUUUUGUGGAGUUAUUUUACAAAAUCCGCAAUCGAAAUGGGCUCAUGUUGAAGGCUUUGCUUGUUAACUACUUGUCCAUUUUUGUGGAACACAACAAUUUCUCAUGUUAUGAGUUUCCUGCACAGAUUGAUAUUCGUCCUUAAGUUUGUUAAUGCUACUUGGUCGUAUUGUUUUUGGGCUGUAUUUUCAUCUGUUUGGUUCCUUAGGAUGUGUUAUCUAGCUUUUACUUGUGAUAUGAGUACUAUUUUGCAAUGCGUGUGGGAAGGAGCGCAGAGGUGCUGCUAUGUGUUGUGUGCUUGUGUGCAUGUGCAUAUUCCUGUACGCUUGCUGGCUGCAAGAUAGAAAAAGUCUUGAAAAGCUAGAUUAAAAAUGAAAGGAGAAAAUAAGUAACAUUAUGCUUCUCUCUCUCUAGUACAAGGUAUUCCUAUCAUUUCAUUCACACGGAGAUCUUUGUUGUCAUCGGUAGCCCUGUGGGGAAUUUGACCUGCUCAGAAUCUCAAAGUUGGUGUCAAGUCUUAAGAGAACCAAGUAGUUGAAUGACAGGCUGAUAACAGGUAAAUGGUAUGGGGACUCUGGAUGAUUCACUGGUCUCAAUUAAGAGCUCAGGACUAUUCAUUCGGUAGGGUAUGGUUCAUAUACGUCUCUUUCACAUCAGCAAAUAGCAUAGUAGACGUGCUAGUUAGAAUUGAGGUGUGAAGACACUUAUUUGUGUAGCUCAUUGUCAGAUCUUUAACGCCCAUGCACCUUUUUUUUUUUUGCUAAACAGUAUCAUCCCUCUCAUUUGUCAGAAGUAAUCAAACUCAGCCAUCAUAGACUAAAGAGCAUAAGCCUAAGCAGUGGAAAUAAUCUAUAAUUUGCAUCUCAACCUCUGUUUGAAAAUAUAGGAUGCAGUGGGGUCAUGACUCCAGAUUGAUUGCAGUUGGGGGGCGUCGCACCUUUGACAUGACAACUAUAGGAGCGGAACUCAGGAUAGUAUGGGAGGGCAUUAUCUACGUUAAACAGGUGUUAGGGGCGGAUUGUAUCUCCCUUGAAGGGGACUCAACCACGGUCAUCGAUUGGAUUCGGAAUGUGGAUUGGCGAGGGGGCGGACAUCCGCUGAUCAGUGACAUUCACAGGAUGGUGAGAGGCUGUGAUUCAUUUUAGGCCAUACAUGUGUUCCAUGAGGCGAACAAGGCGGCGGACUGGAUCGUCUUCUUUGCUGCUCAACACUUGGGAGAGGUUCUCUGGACAUGUUAUACCGCAUCGGGUGUCUUAGUUACUCAAUUUUGGCAAUGGAGAAUAUUGCCAAAAUUUUAUCUUGAUGCAAAAGCAAGGCUAGCUUGUGUGUAUCAAACCUCAGUUGUAAGAAUUGGACGUGGUUAUUUGUCUUUGUCUUUCUUAGGACGAUUUGAUUAUAGAAAUUUGGGAAUUUUGCAAAAACAAGCUUCUUUAUUUUUUUCUUUUUCUUUUUCUUUUUUUUUUGAGGAUAAAGGAGACUAAUGGGCAGUAAGCCGCAUUAGUCUCCUGAAAUUUUAUUAAUGAAGAAGAGAAGUUUUAGAUACAUCCAGGAUGACUGAAGAGGGAAUUUACAGUAAAAAAGAAGAAGGAAUAUAUCCAAUCGAGCUACAGAGCUGUCAUCAAGAAAGCUUAAAACAAUAAGCAUGGUAAAGAGCAGAAGGAGAAAAAGAAAGACGCAGGCUCAGGAGAAGCCUGACAAAGUAGCUCAUACAGCAUAGUAAGAUCCUGGGAUCAUCCCAUUGCUUGAGAUUCCAUGAUCUCCUUUUGUGAGAACUGAACCAAAGGAAGAGCAGAAUAGCAGGGCUUUAUCUCAUUAAAAGAGUCACACAUAGCCAGAAACCAGCAGCGGCAGAAAGAAGGCAUCAUCCAUGCUCAUCUGAAGAGGAAACACCUAAUUCUCUAAUCUUCUUCAAACGUUUCCACAGCUUGCCAAAACCAAGAAGGGUGUUAUGAUCAAAGAGAAUAGACCAGCUGUUAACCAAACUGAUAGCAGCGAAGACGAUGGAUGAAGAGAUGACUGGUUGUUUCUGAAGAAUCAGAGCAACAUGGACAGCCACCAAGGGACUUACCCGUUCUUUUCAAUAAGUUUUCCCUAGUGUUUAGGUUGUGAAUGAGUGCCAUCUGAAAGAAACACCUAACUUUUAGAGGGAUUUUGAGUUUCCAAACCAUAGGAGCAAGGUCCCAAUUGAUCCCCCUUGAGUUAAGAAAGCCAUAAAGGGAUGCAGUGGUCAAACAACCAGUGGCGGUAAGGGACCAUGAGAUAUCAUCUGAUUGGUUUGGAUUCAGCAGAACUCCAUGAAGGAGGCUAGACAAUUGCUGCAGUUCAGCUGCGGCCUUAGUCGAAAGAGAAGCGCCACAUUGGAAGUGCCAAGAAUUGGAUGUCAUUGAAGAAUUGAGCCACAUACCCGGAUUUGAGUCUAGAUGUCUGAUAGAGGCUGGGGAAUAAGGCCCUCAAAUGCAGAUCCGGGAUCCAUUUGUGCUUUCGAAAGAGUACUUUCAACCCAUUCCCCACAACAAAAGAAGACCUAUUCCAGAAUGGUUGCAAAGAGGAGAGCAUUGAGGAUAGCAGAGCAUUUGCUCUUUGGCUUCCAACAAUCAGCAAGUUUACACCUGUUAAAAUAGAAGCAAGAUAACAAUCUUUUCCAAGGGGCCCGAUCAUCCUUGAGGUAUCUCCAUCCCCAUUGCUAAUAGAGCAGUAUUAAAGUCCUCGAUGUCUUCAACACUAAGCCCACCUUUAGUUUUUGCAAGGCAACAUUUUUUCCAAUUAACUUUGCAGUUCAAACCAUCUACCUUUUCAGUCCCUUUCCCAAGAAAGGCCCUCCGUAGGCCAUCAAUUCUUUUGACUAUCCUUAUAGGUAGUUUGAAGAGAGACAUAUAGAAAAGCGGCAUAGUAGAGAGGACUGCAUUUACUAAGACUAGGCUACCCCCAAAUGAUAAGAACUUUCCUUUCCAACCAGUUAGUCUAGAUUCCAUCUUGUGGAUGAGGGGCAUCCAAUCACCUCUCUUGAGUUUACCGGCAUUAAGAGGAGGUCCAAGGUACCUAAUGUGCAAGGAGGAGUGAGGACGGUUCAGCGAAGCUGCACACUGCAAUGGUUGAGGGGCAUCCAGAGCAAUGGGCAGCACAAAGCUUUUUUGGAAGUUAAUAGAGAGACCGGAUAUAGCUUCAGAGCCAUAAAGGAUGAUGUUCAAAGAAGAGAUGCAGUUCUUAUCAAUCGUUGGAGAAAAUGAUAGUCAUGUCAGCAAACUGAAGAAUUUUUGAACCACCACUAACAACGGAUUGCCCAGUCCUUGAAAUAAACCAGAAAAAUGCAACUUCUUACUUACUUUGCUUCUUUGUUUUUUUCUAUUUGCACUUCGGGACAGUACUGUUUUUAUUUAUUUAUUUUCUUUCUUUCUAAUUUCAAGAAGGAUCCAAUUCUAAGAACGUUGGAUGCUUUUGCCCCUGGACAAGUGGAUACAGUUGAAUUGCAUGUUUUAGUAGAGCUGGAUGCACGUAGUUUUUAUAGCAGAGUUGGAUGCACGCAGUUUUCAUAUUGAAUGGAGCUAUUUGUGGGGCUUGAAAUACCCAUUUAUGAGCUGUAGUAUUACCUGUGGGUUAGGGGCAUCCAUCAUUUGCGGGAGAAAAAAAAAAAAGUGGUCUGAAUUUGCAAAAACAGGAACAAAGUGGAUUGCUUCCGCAAGAUUCCUGAGAAUAUACAGAACAGACAAUACUCGGCUCUGCUCGUAAAUGUACUGAGCAAGCAGGCCAAAAAAUAUCAAGCCCAAUGCUGCAACUUUCCUCCAUUCCACCUCAGGAGUAGCGAGCACAGCAUUUCCUAUUGUGACGAGUAGCAAUGACAUGAGGGCAAGGUGCCUUUUCCCGCAGGUUCUUGAAGAACAGGCCUUCAUUUCGGUCCCGCUCGAUCUUGUCCUCAAAGUCCUCCAAGAUCCUCUCGUUCUUUUCAAUCUCCUGUUUGCUAAUUUCUGCGGUUUCUUCAAAAGCCUGCAUCCGAUUCUCCAGGUUCUCCAUGAUCUGCUACAUCAGAAAAAAUCACUGUUAUUUGGAGGAGGGAUAGCAGAUGCUGUCAUGCACUUCGAAUGCAAGAAAAAAAAAAAAAGCUUCGUAUUAAGUUACAAGCAGACCCUGGAACUGGCUUCAUCAAGUUCUUUCAGUGCAUUCUCUCCGAUUUUGUCGAACUCGGCAGUGGCAUCCUCAGCGAACUGAGUCAGAUAUGCAGAACGCUCAUCGAGGAAGUCGGUGAGGCGAACCUUUUGGGCUU
Molecule: non-coding RNA, 6274 nt
Organism: Phoenix dactylifera (date palm)
Lineage: Eukaryota; Viridiplantae; Streptophyta; Magnoliopsida; Arecales; Arecaceae
Source: RefSeq, a predicted model, not a curated record